GGUGUUGUGGUCUAGUGGAUAAGUCACCAGACUGUAGAUUAGAAGGUAAAGGGUUCAAGUCCCUGCCAUGCCA
RNAcentral lists this transfer RNA (73 nucleotides) under Strongylocentrotus purpuratus (purple sea urchin). It matches the Rfam family "tRNA". Rfam says of the family: Transfer RNA (tRNA) molecules are approximately 80 nucleotides in length. Their secondary structure includes four short double-helical elements and three loops (D, anti-codon, and T loops). The record is from Rfam by way of RNAcentral. Lineage: Eukaryota; Metazoa; Echinodermata; Echinoidea; Camarodonta; Strongylocentrotidae.